CCCUUAGAUGUUCUGGGCCGCACGCGCGCUACACUGAUUCAUGUACUAAGUAUAUAACCUUGGUAGAAAUGCUUGGGUAAUCUUUGAAACUGAAUCGUGCUGGGGAUUGGAGCUUGUAAUUAUUCUCCAUGAACGAGGAAUUCCUAGUAAACGCGAGUCAUCAGCUCGCAUUGAUUACGUCCCUGCCCUUUGUACACACCGCCCGUCGCACCUACCAAUUGAAUGGUCCGGUGAAAUCUUCGGACCGGGCGAUAGUCAGCAAUGACCGUUGCCUGGAAAGUUGCUUAAACCUUACCAUUUAGAGGAAGGUGAAGUCGUAACA
This 322-nucleotide ribosomal RNA is filed under the name uncultured eukaryote. RNAcentral describes it as "partial 18S ribosomal RNA". It matches the Rfam family "Eukaryotic small subunit ribosomal RNA", at positions 1470 to 1796 of the family's 1831-position model. The record is from RNAcentral.